AACCAUAGAAACCUGCGGAGUACCUGCGGAGGGAUCAUUAACGAAUGGUCUUUGUACCUUCAAAACCCCUCAAACCAGUGGACAUGAAAAUGUGCUUCGGCGCUCUGGCGCCGCUUUUAUGCUGUAAUUCUGUCAUUUGUGUCUGAAUGCAAAGCAAAGAAUCAAAACUUUUAGCAACGGAUCU
RNAcentral lists this unclassified non-coding RNA (184 nucleotides) under soil metagenome. Its description in RNAcentral is "partial contains 5.8S ribosomal RNA, internal transcribed spacer 2, and large subunit ribosomal RNA". The record is from RNAcentral.